CCCCUCUCAAGGUCGUGCCUGGAGAGUUUCUAGUACUCUAUCAGUCUUGAGGAUGGGAAGAAGAGUCAAGAAGAGGCCUAUCCAUUCCAUUCCUAGCUUGGCCAGUGGCUAGAGAGUGGAAGGCAAUCUGCUACAAGU
Small nucleolar RNA from Ornithorhynchus anatinus (platypus), 138 nucleotides. Lineage: Eukaryota; Metazoa; Chordata; Mammalia; Monotremata; Ornithorhynchidae. The record is from RefSeq and is a predicted model, not a curated record.